GAUGAACGCUGGCGGCGUGCCUAAUACAUGCAAGUCGAGCGAACGGACGAGAAGCUUGCUUCUCUGAUGUUAGCGGCGGACGGGUGAGUAACACGUGGAUAACCUACCUAUAAGACUGGGAUAACUUCGGGAAACCGUAGCUAAUACCGGAUAAUAUUUUGAACCGCAUGGUUCAAAAGUGAAAGACGGUCUUGCUGUCACUUAUAGAUGGAUCCGCGCUGCAUUAGCUAGUUGGUAAGGUAACGGCUUACCAAGGCAACGAUGCAUAGCCGACCUGAGAGGGUGAUCGGCCACACUGGAACUGAGACACGGUCCAGACUCCUACGGGAGGCAGCAGUAGGGAAUCUUCCGCAAUGGGCGAAAGCCUGACGGAGCAACGCCGCGUGAGUGAUGAAGGUCUUCGGAUCGUAAAACUCUGUUAUUAGGGAAGAACAUAUGUGUAAGUAACUGUGCACAUCUUGACGGUUCCAAUCAGAAAGCCACGGCUAACUACGUG
Molecule: ribosomal RNA, 496 nt
Filed under: uncultured bacterium
Lineage: Bacteria
Description: partial 16S ribosomal RNA
Rfam family: Bacterial small subunit ribosomal RNA
Source: RNAcentral